UACGGAGGGAGCUAGCGUUGUUCGGAAUUACUGGGCGUAAAGCGUGCGCAGGCGGUUUUGUAAGCCAGAUGUGAAAGCCCCGGGCUUAACCUGGGAAUGGCAUUUGGGACUGCAAGGCUUGAGUGCGGCAGAGGAGACUGGAAUUCCUGGUGUAGCAGUGAAAUGCGUAGAUAUCAGGAGGAAUACCGAUGGCGAAGGCAGGUCUCUGGGCUGACACUGACGAUCAUGCACGAAAGCGUGGGGAGCAAACAGG
Molecule: ribosomal RNA, 253 nt
Filed under: uncultured bacterium
Lineage: Bacteria
Description: partial 16S ribosomal RNA
Rfam family: Bacterial small subunit ribosomal RNA
Source: RNAcentral